CUCCUGGGAGUUGGUGAUGGACAGGGAGGCCUGGCGUGCUGCGAUUCAUGGGGUCGCGAAGAGUCGGACACGACUGAGCGACUGAACUGAACUGAAGACAAAAUUGCUUAUACCCCCAUCAUAUAAUCAAUUAAAUAGUUUAUUUUUCCUCAUAUACUCAUUGUUUUAUAUAUUUCCUAGUAUUAUCAUCAUUUUAAACUCAAAGCCUGGAAACUUUGUCUUUCAGGACACAAGUGAACUGUUUUUCUGUUUCUUUGAAACAGGUACAAAUACAUUUUUAAAGAACUAGAUGUGGAGGAAGAAGGAAGCAUUUAUGAGGACACUGGCCAGACUGCCAAAGCUUCAAGUACUGGAGCCAAGAUUCAAAAUAAAUCUUUUGCCCCAAAUCUCUGCCUCCUUCCAAACAGAAAGAUCCAAGUUUAAUGUGUGAUGGCUGUUCCUCUAUUUAAUGAAUAAAAGAAAAGAUUGAAUCUA
Long non-coding RNA from Bubalus bubalis (water buffalo), 474 nucleotides. RefSeq lists it as uncharacterized. The transcript has 2 exons. NCBI's taxonomy places the organism in Eukaryota, Metazoa, Chordata, Mammalia, Artiodactyla, Bovidae. The record is from RefSeq and is a predicted model, not a curated record.